UGCAAACCUAUCACAGCUGGUGGCUUC
This 27-nucleotide non-coding RNA is filed under the name Rattus norvegicus (Norway rat). Lineage: Eukaryota; Metazoa; Chordata; Mammalia; Rodentia; Muridae. The record is from RNAcentral.